UCUUCCCAUUCCGAACAGAGAAGUUAAACCUUGUAACGCCGAUGGUACUGCGAAAGCGGGAGAGUAGGUAAUCGCCGCCU
Molecule: ribosomal RNA, 80 nt
Filed under: Muribaculaceae bacterium
Lineage: Bacteria; Pseudomonadati; Bacteroidota; Bacteroidia; Bacteroidales; Muribaculaceae
Source: RNAcentral